GCAUCUUUAAUGGCUUCAUCACGGACUGCAGAAUGCUGCUAAACUGAGAGCAAUGAUUGGCUGAGACGCCCGGCCGCUCCCUGACCCCCAGAAUUUAGGCGGUCCUACUGAACAUCUACAGUACAGCCCAUACAGCUCAGUGCAGCAGGUAAACAGCUUAUACACAUUUUGUCUCCGGGGAGAAGUGUUCGAGUUUCAGGCAGUAUUGAUUCUGGAGGGAAAACUGUCAAAGUGGUGUACUCUAAAAGAGGCCAAAUCUGUGACAGAGUUUCUGAUCAACUUGAACUGACAGCACCUGUCUGACUUCCCCUUGAAAAUACAGCACAAAUGAGAGUUAAGUGAUGAACCAAAAGACUGUACUUCAACAUUUGAAGCGUGAAACCACUGGAUUGUUUUUAAUGAGACAUUGGGAC
Acanthopagrus latus (yellowfin seabream) is the source of this 413-nucleotide long non-coding RNA. RefSeq lists it as uncharacterized. NCBI's taxonomy places the organism in Eukaryota, Metazoa, Chordata, Actinopteri, Spariformes, Sparidae. The record is from RefSeq and is a predicted model, not a curated record. The transcript is spliced from 3 exons.